RNAcentral lists this long non-coding RNA (4965 nucleotides) under Sus scrofa (pig). RNAcentral's name for it is "lncRNA (ENSSSCG00060044696.1)". Lineage: Eukaryota; Metazoa; Chordata; Mammalia; Artiodactyla; Suidae. The record is from RNAcentral.
CAAUUUAGGGAUAGAGAUAUUGUUCAGUGGUGAUGAUAAGAUAUACUAGUAUAUUAUAACUCUUUUUAACUAGCCAAUAACUUACAUUUAGGGAUUAUGUACACAUCUAGAUUGGAUUAGUUUAUUUUUCAGGCUCUGUUCUAAGUGAAUAAUUUAAAUAAUAGAGGACCAUUCAGCAUAAUUACUAUCCAUAACAGUUCUUCAAUAUCUUAAUUCAUGUGCCAUUCUUGUCUAUGAAUUUUAGUUUUGCAUAUGUUUUUUUUUUUUUUGCCCAAAGAGCUGAAAAGCUCAGGCUUUAGAGUUAGACACACCUAGCUUUUGGGAACAGCUGUGCAACUUUGGCAGCAUGGUAACCUUGGGCAAGUUCGAUCUUCUCUGCCUCUCAGUGUCCUCAUCUGUCUUAAAACUAUACCUCUUCCUCCCCUCACAGGAUAAUUGUAUAAAUUAUUUUGUACUGUAUUUGGUACACAAUUGACACCUAGUAAAUGGUAAGAGUCAUAAUUAGGCUUUUAUAUUUUAAACUGUCAAAUCUUUGACACAUUGUGGGCCAGUGGUUCUUUCAACACAGUAAUAAAAUGAAGAGGGAUGCAGCAGCACACUUUGAUUUAAAGUGAUGGGAAGAUAAUGUGUAAUUAAAAUAGACAAUAAUGGAGAGAGAAACUUGGUAGUUCUCUGAUUAGGCUGGGCCUGAUGUAAAUAAGUGCCACACUUAUUUUACCAGCUUGGUACAGAUUCUAAAGCUCGAUGAAGUGGGAAUAAUUAUGAAAUACAGGGGUUAGUUUGACUGAGCAAUCCCACUCUAGGGCAUAUGACCGGAUAAAACUUUCCUUAAAAAAGACACAUGCAUGCUCAUGUUCAUUGCAGCACUAUUCACAAUAGCCAAGACAAUUUUUUUCCUACUAUACAGCAUUGUGACCCAGUUACACAUAUAUAUAUGCAUUCUUCUUUCUCCCAUUAUCAUGUCUGGUCACUUAUGAUGGAGCAUGAUAAUUAUUAGGAGUUUCGAAUUUUUCUUUUCUUUGCUGGAGAAAUCAAGAGACUUUUAACACCUUGCUAAAUACUCUGUAAACUCAGCUUCCAAUGGGGUUUUAGGAGAGUAGAAAUGAUUUUUCUUUUUAUUAGUUCUUUGAAUAUGUUUCCAGUAAAAAAUAUUAUUAAUAAAAUAAAUAUCGUACGUGCAUAUAGGUAUAUGUGUACUUCUAACAGCCUCCUACCAGAAUUCCAAAGAGUAUAUCUUGGCAACUAUGGUAGAUAGCAUGUGAUUAUACUUUUACUAAAGCAAAAAAUUUGACUAAAUCUCAUUUGAGAGAGUACAUUACAGUAAAAUUUCUCUUAAAACUACUUGUUUGACAGAAUAAAUAUUUUUUUAAAAUUUCUGUUGAUAGUGAAAUAAAUUAAAUAGGAAGGAAUUUGAAAAUAAAGGUAAACAUUCUAGAAAACAACCAUGUUUUUUCUUUAGUGAAUAUAAUUUUCAUUGAAGGUAGAUAUUCCUAUUACCUGAAUGAUAGUCACAUCUCCAUAUAUCAGAACUUUAAUGUUUACUUCUCCAUCAUAUCUUUUGAGUCCCUUCUCUUUUAUGAAACUGAAAUAAAAAUAACCUGUACGACUCUUUCCUUCUUAAAUCAAUAUAUUUGUAAAUAGCCAUUUUCUUAUUAAUAGCACAUUCACUUUUAAAGUAAAAUUUUAUUAAUUUCUGACUAUAUAAAGAAAUAAAUAUCAUUAAGAAAAAUAUACUGAAGGAAAGGAAAAUCACUAAUUACCUCAUUGUGUAAAAUAUUAACAAUGCUCAUUGAUACCCUAUAAUUACUGUACUCAAAAUUAUGUGUUAAUGAAUCAAUAUGUUUUGCAUGUUUUCUUUCAGGAGUUUCUCAAUAGGAGAUAAUAAUAACAGUAAUAAUAAUAAUGUUAAAUUUGAAUCAAGGCAAAUAGAUGUCUUUGAAUUCUUCUUUUGGGUCUUAUUUUUUUUUGCUUAAUUUAGUUUCAAGUAUGUUUCUAACAACUAAAAAUUUAUCAAAAGUAUAAUUUAAUUACCAAAAAUUAUUCCCAGCAAUGAUUUUUGACAAAACUUAUUUACUCAUACUCUUAUUUUCAGGCAUUCAAUUCUAAUAUUUCCUUUUUUUAGAAUAUAUAAUGUCACAGUGAAAACCUUUAAAUAUAAGUGAUUAUCUGCACCUUAGGUCUGUUUAUUUUCCAACUCCUAGUGUUUGAAAAAACCACAUUUAAUAAUUUUCUAUGAACCUAAGUAAAGUACAAGAAAUUGAGUAUAUCCUUUAACAAUCAACCUAGUCAAAAUUAUAAGUAAUGAUUUCCUCUUAUAAGCAGUCAUAGAUUUCAAUCAUGUCCUAGUUACAAAACAAAGGAAUGGUAGUUAAGGCUUAUGUAAUACAUUCUAAAAAUCAUUUUAAUUCUCAUAAUAUAAAGGGUAUAUUUAAAAAUAGUCAUGAAGGACAGAUUAAUAGAUAUUUUAUUUUAUUCCCCAGUCAGUAUGGUUACAUUUUAACACCUGCUGUUCACAAAGUUCAAUAGAUAGUUAAUAUAUAGCAAGAAUUCCAAAUGAGUUUUGAGAAAUCUGUUUUGAGGGGAUUAGAGAAAAGUUCACAUCUGACUUACUAAUGAGUUGAUUUUAGUUAAUGUGAAAUUCUGGUUGAAUGUAAAUUAAUUUAUCACCUACUCUAUGAGUUGCAAACAAAUUCUUCUCCUUUUUGUUCUGUAAUUUGUCUAUGUAAUAUUGAAACUAUUCAAUGAUUUAGCAGAAAAUAGGCAUAUUUAAUCACUUUAAUUUCUCCAGCCAAAAUUAUUGCAGUCAAUUAACUCAAUCAACAAUUUUAUCCUCCAAUAUGCCAUGCACUUUGGGCCACUUGACUGCUCCUGGAAUUUUAUGGACAAUCUACUAAGACAAAUAAAGGAUUUAAAAGUGCACAUCACAAUUCUAAUGUGAAAUUUUGCAUAUUAUAAAUUUUCUAAUCAAAAUAUUCAGUUAUCAGGAACAUAAAGUAGAAGGUAAAAGCAAUUUAAAGUCAGACCCAAAGUCAUCCUCUUAUCUUUUUACAUUACAUAUAAUGUAAAAGCAAGGUAGUUUUAUUUAAUAUGAAACAUUUUUAUAAAACAAAGUAAUUAUUUCAUUCUAUUACAUUACUUUUCAAGGAAUUCAAUCUAAUGCAAUUCUAUUAAGUGUAUUGCUUACACAUAAUGUAUUUUAAGAUUACAAGGUAGACUAAUACAUUGUAAUUAUAAGUCAGAGUACCUUAGAGUUAAUGUAUUUCUGUGGCUUUUGGAGAUAUACUUCUAUAUUCAUUAGUUAUAAAAGUAAAAAAGAUGGCAGAGUGCAUGAACUUGUGCCUAAGUUUGAAGGAGUUAUAAGAUAUUACUAGGUAUGUUUCUCAGAUCCAGAAAAGGUCCCAUUUUUGUUCUAGUCAUAAUUAGGAAACUUGGUUGUUAAUCAAGUUUGUAAAAACCCAGAGAUGAAAUAUGCCUCAUUAUUCAGCCUCUCAUUCCCCUUCAGAGCAUUCAGUCCUUACCCUCUUCUGUCUGUAAAAUUAAUAGCCUUUUGUAGGGACUCUUCUUUUGUAGGGACUCUUAUAAAUCUAAAAUUCUAUUGAUUUUCUUUACAAAAACAUAGUGAAUAUAAAAACCUAGAUGAAGAGGCAGCUGGGGGCAGUGAGUACAACCUCCAGGUUAUGGUCAGAAUCUUGCUCUGCUAUUGAAAAAUUAUUUGACCUUCAGUUUCAGUGUGAUUACUUUUAAAUGACAGUCUCAAGAUCUCUGAGUUUUACUUUUUGCCUAAGAACCACAAAAAUGAUAUAGGGACUUUGAUUCUCUUAGGCAAAAAAAAAAAAAAAAGGGAGAUAUGUGAAUUCUGUGAAUUGGUAUUGCGUAACAUGGUUUCCAUCACUUGCUAUUAAUUUACUUUUUUUUUUUUUGGUCUUCUGUCUUUUUUAGGGCUGCACCCAUGACAUAUGGAGAUUGCCAGGCUAGGGGCUGAAUUGGAGCUGCAGCUGCUGGCCUAAACCACAGCCACAGCAACACUGGAUCCAAGUUGCUCUUGUGACCUACACCAGAGCUCACGGCAAUGCUGGAUCCUUAACCCACUGAGCGGGGCCAGGGGUCAAACACUCAUCCUCAUGGAUAGUAGCUGGGUUUGUUAACCACUGAGCCACAAUGGGAAUUCCUAAUUUGCUUUCUGAUAGCCCAUGUUUUUAAACAUUAGACAUUGUUUUCUUUUGUAUUGGGAUUUUGGGAUUAACAUUGCACACUACUAUAUAUGGAAUGAAUGGUCAAUAGGGACCUUCUCUUAAAUACAGGGCUACUCAAUAUUCUGUGAUAAUCUAUAUGGUAUAAGAAUCUGGAAAAAUGGAUAUGUGUUCAUGUAUAAUGGAAUCACUUUGUCGUACAGCAGAAAUUAACACACCAGUGUAAAUCAACAAUACUUCAAUAAAAUUUUUAAAAAUUAAAAAUAUAUUGUUCUCAAUGUAUAAAAAUAUAACCAUAAUUCUUACUAAUAGUCAAGUAUUUCAUAUAUUUUACUUGCUUUCAUUGUUUUAUUCCUUUGAUUAUUUUAUUGAAGUAUAGUUGAUUUACAAUGUUGUCUUAAUUUUGCUGAACAGCAAAGUGAUUCAACUUUAUAUAUUAUUUUCCAUUAUACAGUUACAAGAUUUUUAAUAUCAUUCCUUGUGCUAUACAGUAGAAACUUGUUAUUGCUCCUUGGAUUUUUUUUUUUAAUUAUAGUUGAGGGAGUUCUCAUUGUGUCUCAGUAGUUAACAAACCCACUUGGAUCCAUGAGGAUGCAGGUUCAAUCCCUGGCCUUGCUCAGUGGUUAAAGGAUCCAGUGUUGCUGUGAGCUGUGGUGCAGGUUACAGAUGCUGCUCAGAUACCACAUUGCUGUGGCAUAGGCCGGCAGCUGUAGCUCUGAUUCGACCCCUAGCCUGGGAACUUCUAUAUGCAACAGGUGCAUGGAACCCUAAAAAA